This is a long non-coding RNA of Lotus japonicus, 1728 nucleotides long. RefSeq lists it as uncharacterized. The transcript is spliced from 4 exons. NCBI's taxonomy places the organism in Eukaryota, Viridiplantae, Streptophyta, Magnoliopsida, Fabales, Fabaceae. The record is from RefSeq and is a predicted model, not a curated record.
CUUUUCUCUGCUCUCUAUGUGGUUACAUGAUUGGAAUUUUUUUAUUUUAUUCUGUUCAUAUUUUUCCUCUUUUCUCUCUUAUGUGGUUAUGGGUACUGCGAUGGUUAUCCGUAGCGACUUGAUGCUCACUCACCUAGCAACAACUGAUUCAUGUAUCAGUUUACUGAAUUUCUUAUGUUCAUUAUUGAGUGCUACUCGAUCGGUGAUUCAUCCUCCCGAGAAAUUGAGUAUCAUAGUGCCACUGCGUUCGUCAGCCGAUUCGUGAUGACUCGUCACUCGAGGAGGACCAGGAGCGUAAUGACUAUUUCUGAAGCUUUCGACGAGGACCCAGACUUCAGGCCUGAUCGAGGAAGGGUCGAUGAAAGUAGUGUGGGAUAUGGGUGGUUAGAGUCUUUGAGUUGGUUGUUAGAGUCAUAGCUCUGAUUGUCAUUCCUUAUUUUGGGGCAGGGCAGGUCCCCGACUAUUAGCUUUUCGUGUGAUUCCCUUCCAUGAGGAUCACAGGGAGUUUGUCGGACGUAGGAAGUCUUUUGAGGCCGUUUUGGGCCGACUUACUUUCGUUGGAGGACUGUAUUCAGAAUACUUGACCUUUUGUUUUAGUUUGUACAUAAUUGCCCACGGGCACUACCUUUCCGUCACUGGAGGUCACUCAUGACGAUGUUUUUAGUUGCAGCGAGGGCUGUGCUUGUAUUGUAUAUUAAUCGCUGUUAAUCGCGAUUGGGUUGAGUCUUUAUUUCGACAAGUCUUUUUAUUUAAACAAAACGAAAAAAAAUACCUGCUUUUCGGUUUUAUUUUAUUUUGAGUUACUAAAGUGACGCCACCGAAAUCGGGGUGUUACAGUGAGUGAGUGGAAUGGUGAAAAUUUAAUUAAUUAGAGUGUCUUUUGUUUAUGAACAACACACCUAUUAGCAAACUUUGCAAUACUACAAGUCUUAUUAAUUAUCAUAUCUUCAGUUUCUCUUUAAAUGCUUUUGUGAAUCUGUUUUAUUAUUUAUAAAUUUAAAUUCUCCUUAAUCCAAAAGGAUUGAGAUCAUCAACAGUUCUGACACACAAUAGCACCAUUUUCCACCUUAGAUUCCAUUGCAUUCUUACCUUCAGCCUUCAUAUAAGAUGCCAGCUAGCAGCAUCCUUUUCCUUGAACUGAUAACACUAGCUCUCAUCAAAUUACAUGGUAUAAUAAACCUCAAUGGAAAUUGGGUAUUUGUGAUCUUUAUCUAUGGAUUGCGAUUUUAGGCAGAAUAAGAAAUUAAACCCAGGGGCAGAAUUUAAGAACAUUUCAGACAUGAUUGGAGCUAAAUGGAAGAUGAUUAUAUCGUAAGAGAAAAAUUCUUAACAUAAUAUGAAACCUUCUUUUCUUGCAUGUUACAAGUGACUGAAAAUAUCAUUAUUGUGUUUGGGUGAAUGAAUUUGUAAAUGGAGUGAUGAUUUUGUAGUUUUGAGGAUUUUUCAUUGUAGAAUCCAAAGAAGACAUCGUGGGUUGGAAAUGGAGAGAAGAGUAAAGGCAGAAUGAGAAAGGAGUAAAGGAUUGCCUUCCACCAAGGGUAAUAACCAACCAACAAGGUGCCUGAACAUAUUGCAAGAUUUUGAAAAGUGACAACUCGGAUAAAAUGGCAGUGUCUAAGCUCAUGUCUGUGUUUUAAUAUAUUCAUUAAGUUAGUCUUAUUGAUGGUUGUAUGUUGUGCCAUCCUUACUAAGGUCUUUUUGCUUAGUGAAGUUCAAGCUUUUUAUUCA